AUUGAACGCUGGCGGCAUGCCUUACACAUGCAAGUCGAACGGCAGCGGGGGAGAAGCUUGCUUUUCCUGCCGGCGAAUGGCGAACGGGUGAGUAAAGUAUCGGAACGUGCCCAGUCGUGGGGGAUAACGUAGCGAAAGUUACGCUAAUACCGCAUACGAUCUAUGGAUGAAAGCGGGGGAUCGCAAGACCUCGCGCGAGUGGAGCGGCCGAUAUCAGAUUAGGUAGUUGGUGGGGUAAAGGCUCACCAAGCCGACGAUCUGUAGCUGGUCUGAGAGGACGACCAGCCACACUGGGACUGAGACACGGCCCAGACUCCAACGGGAGGCAGCAGUGGGGAAUUUUGGACAAUGGGCGAAAGCCUGAUCCAGCCAUGCCGCGUGCAGGAUGAAGGCCUUCGGGUUGUAAACUGCUUUUGUACGGAACGAAAAGGUUUGGCCUAAUAAGCUGAGCUCAUGACGGUACCGUAAGAAUAAGCACCGGCUAACUACGUGCCAGCCGCCGCCGUAA
This 508-nucleotide ribosomal RNA is filed under the name uncultured bacterium. Its description in RNAcentral is "partial 16S ribosomal RNA". It matches the Rfam family "Bacterial small subunit ribosomal RNA", at positions 30 to 523 of the family's 1533-position model. The record is from RNAcentral.